RNAcentral lists this ribosomal RNA (440 nucleotides) under uncultured soil bacterium. RNAcentral describes it as "bacterial SSU rRNA". It matches the Rfam family "Bacterial small subunit ribosomal RNA", at positions 26 to 522 of the family's 1533-position model. The record is from RNAcentral.
AGAACGAACGCUGGCGGCAGGCUUAACACAUGCAAGUCGAGCGCCCCGCAAGGGGAGCGGCAGACGGGUGAGUAACGCGUGGGAAUCUACCCUUCACUACGGAACAACUCCGGGAAACUGGAGCUAAUACCGUAUACGUCCUUCGGGAGAAAGAUUUAUCGGUGAUGGAUGAGCCCGCGUUGGAUUAGCUAGUUGGUGGGGUAAUGGCCUACCAAGGCGACGAUCCAUAGCUGGUCUGAGAGGAUGAUCAGCCACAUUGGGACUGAGACACGGCCCAAACUCCUACGGGAGGCAGCAGUGGGGAAUAUUGGACAAUGGGCGAAAGCCUGAUCCAGCCAUGCCGCGUGAGUGAUGAGGCCCUAGGGUAGUAAAGCUCUUCAACGGUGAAGAUAAUGAACGGUAACGAGAAGACGCCCGCUAACUCGCGCACGCACGCCGAC